GUCCUUGGAGAGAUGGUAUUGGGCAGGGACAGGGCACGGGAACAAAGCUUGUUGACCUGGGACUCGGCGAUGUCCGCCCGCUCCUCUGCCUCAUCCAGCUCGUGCUGCACCUUGCGGAACUUGGACAGCUGGUUGUCACUGUGGCUAUGGUGCCAGGGCUCUGCCUGGAGUCACCGCCCGUCGCACCUGGUAGGUGAGCUCCUUGAUGCGCCGCUCGCUCUUCCUCAUGCCCUUCACCGACUCUGCGUUGCGCUUCUGCUCGGCCUCCAGCUCAUUCUCCAGCUCCCGCACCCGCGCUUCCAGCUUCUGCAGCUGCUUCUUGCCGCCCUUGAGGGCGAUCUGCUCGGCCUCGUCCAGCCGGUGCUGCAGGUCCUUAAUGGUCUGUUCCAUGUUCUUCUUCAUGCGCUCCAGGUGGGCGCUGGUGUCCUGCUCCU
This 434-nucleotide long non-coding RNA is filed under the name Pan troglodytes (chimpanzee). Its description in RNAcentral is "long non-coding RNA NONPTRT004733". Lineage: Eukaryota; Metazoa; Chordata; Mammalia; Primates; Hominidae. The record is from RNAcentral.